CCUACGGGGGGCAGCAGUGGGGAAUAUUGGACAAUGGGCGAAAGCCUGAUCCAGCCAUGCCGCGUGUGUGAAGAAGGCCUUCGGGUUGUAAAGCACUUUCAGUGGGGAAGAAAGCCUUGGGGCUAAUACCCUCGAGGAAGGACAUCACCCACAGAAGAAGCACCGGCUAACUCCGUGCCAGCAGCCGCGGUAAUACGGAGGGUGCGAGCGUUAAUCGGAAUUACUGGGCGUAAAGCGCGCGUAGGCGGUCUGAUAAGCCGGUUGUGAAAGCCCCGGGCUCAACCUGGGAACGGCAUCCGGAACUGUCAGGCUAGAGGGCAGGAGAGGAAGGUAGAAUUCCCGGUGUAGCGGUGAAAGGCGUAGAGAUCGGGAGGAAUACCAGUGGCGAAGGCGGCCUUCUGGACUGACACUGACGCUGAGGUGCGAAAGCGUGGGUAGCAAACAGGAUUAGAUACCCGAGUAGU
This 464-nucleotide ribosomal RNA is filed under the name Vreelandella stevensii. Its description in RNAcentral is "partial 16S ribosomal RNA". It matches the Rfam family "Bacterial small subunit ribosomal RNA", at positions 338 to 794 of the family's 1533-position model. The record is from RNAcentral. Lineage: Bacteria; Pseudomonadati; Pseudomonadota; Gammaproteobacteria; Oceanospirillales; Halomonadaceae.